RNAcentral lists this ribosomal RNA (253 nucleotides) under uncultured bacterium. RNAcentral's name for it is "partial 16S ribosomal RNA". It matches the Rfam family "Archaeal small subunit ribosomal RNA", at positions 474 to 727 of the family's 1478-position model. The record is from RNAcentral.
UACCAGCACCCCGAGUGGUCGGGACGAUUAUUGGGCCUAAAGCAUCUGUAGCCGGUUCUACAAGUCUUCCGUUAAAUCCACCUGCUUAACAGAUGGGCUGCGGAGGAUACUAUAGAGCUAGGAGGCGGGAGAGGCAAGCGGUACUUAGUGGGUAGGGGUAAAAUCCGUUGAUCCAUUGAAGACCACCAGUGGCGAAGGCGGCUUGCCAGAACGCACUCGACGGUGAGGGAUGAAAGCUGGGGGAGCAAACCGG